UCGAAUUUUUAAAUUAUUUUAUUUUAUUUUCUUAUUCUUUUGUCUUUUCUUUGUUGAUAGCUAAAUUUUAACUAAGUAUUUAGGAUUAAAUCACAAAGAAAACUAGGCCCUAACAAAAAUGAUUUUUGCAUCAAUUAGGUCUUAAUUUUUCUUUGCAUCCAUUAAGCUUUAUUUCCUUUUUUUCUUCCUUUAUUUUUCAGUUCUUUUCGGAUAAUUUAAUUAAAAAAAAAAAAACAAGGGCAGCCCGGGGGGGCUGGGCUUUCGCGCCCAACUUCUCCUUUUUCCUUCUUCUUCCCCACGCGGGCCCAAGGCCCACUACCCCCUUUUCCUUGGCCCGGCCCCCUCCUCUUUGUCUUCUUCCUCCUUUGUCUCUGCCACAUGCGCAGAGGAGGCCGGACGCAUGCGAUGCCGGAUGGAGGAGGAGACGGCGACGCACGUGGAGCGGCGCAGACGGAGGGGACGCGUCUUUAAUGCGGUAAAGGAGGCAGCCUAGCUAGAGCCACCUUGACAAGUGGGACGCCGGUUCGGCUGGGGGAGGCCGCUCGAAGCACCAAGGACCAGCGGUCCAAGCACCUCCGUCGACCGGCCUCCUCGCCUAUAAAUAGGUCGUCGGGGGAAGGCCAAAAAUGGACAGAGGCAGCGAGCUGAAAGACUUCCCUUGGGAGACUUCAAGGGAGGCCCAAGAGCACGCGAGCUCUGAGAUAGACGGAGAGAGGGAGGCCGGAGGGCGAGCAACACCGAGAGGGAGGGGAGAAAGCAAGCCAGAGAGGAGAAGAGGAAGGCCAGAUCUGAGGUUGGUAGGAGAGAAAUCCGAGGGAGAAGAGCAGAUCUAGAGGGCGGAGGGUGAGAUCUAAGAGGAAGAUUUCUCUCUCCGCCGAAUCGCGAAAACCCUCGCCCCCGCGAGACCUCCGCCGCGUCGUUGCCGCCCGACACCGUCUACUUCAGCGUCGCCCCCAACGUCGUCCUCGACGACCAGCUGCGAGCCCCGCCGUGCUGGGCUCACUGCUGCUCACCUCGCCACCACGGCUUCCGAUCUCCUCAUGCCGUCCCUGUACCGACCCAAUCGCCGUAGCUCGUCGUCGCCGCCGGGCAUGCCCAUAGCCGAGUCCGAGGAACCAGGCUUCCCGAGCUGCUUGGGGUGCCGCUGCGACCAAGUCCCAUGCCAGUCACCGCCGCUUGUUGCAGCCGUCUCCCUCGGGUGUCGCGGAAGAGAGAGACGAAGGAGCGAUUUAGGUCGACGACUGGGAAUCUGGUCGGGCAUGUGGGUCUCAGCCGGGUAGGGUAGCAUGUGGGCUUUGCAAGAUCAUGGGCUUAGAGCUUUUUCAAAAAAGAGUGAGGCCUUGUUUGGGCCCGUGCUGUAGGCCCAUCUGGGACAUUGGUGGACG
This 1385-nucleotide long non-coding RNA is filed under the name Eucalyptus grandis. Its description in RNAcentral is "long non-coding RNA (EGRA_LNC002755)". The record is from RNAcentral. Lineage: Eukaryota; Viridiplantae; Streptophyta; Magnoliopsida; Myrtales; Myrtaceae.